CCCCUAGUAACUGCGAGUGAAGAGGGAUGAGCUCAAAUUUGUAAUCUGGCAGUAUCUCACUGUCCGAGUUGUAAAUUCAAGAAGUGUUAUCCGUGUUGGUCCAUGCACAAGUCUCUUGGAAAAGAGCAUCAUAGAGGGUGACAAUCCCGUCUCUGGCAUGGACGCCCACCACUUUCGUGAUACACUCUCAAUGAGUCGAGUUGUUUGGGAAUGCAGCUCUAAAUGGGUGGUAAAUUCCAUCUAAAGCUAAAUAUUGGCGAGAGACCGAUAGCGAACAAGUACCGUGAGGGAAAGAUGAAAAGAACUUUGAAAAGAGAGUUAAACAGUACGUGAAAUUGUUGAAAGGGAAACGCUUGAAGUCAGUCUUGUGCUUCAGAAAUCAGCAGGACUCCGUCUUGUGCACUUUCUGUUCCACAGGCCAGCAUCAAUCUCAAUGGCUAGAGAAAAGCUUUGGAAAUGUGGCAUCUUCUAUGGUGUGUUAUAGUCCUUGGCUGUAUGUAGUCGUCGGGAUUGAGGCUUUCAGCUCAUUGUGGCUGACAAGGAUGCUGGCGUAAUGGCUUUAAUCGACCCGUCUUGAAACACGGACCAAGGAGUCUAACAUACAUGCAAGUAUUUGAGUUGUAAACUCUUGUGCGCAAUGAAAGUGAAAGUUGAGAGRCUAUCUCAAAAGUAGUGCAUCAACGCCCGGUCCAGACCUUCUGUGACGGAUCUGCGGUAGAGCAUGUAUGUUGGGACCCGAAAGAUGGUGAACUAUGCCUGAAUAGGGUGAAGCCAGAGGAAACUCUGGUGGAAGCUCGUAGCGAUUCUGACGUGCAAAUCGAUCGUCGAAUUUGGGUAUA
Molecule: ribosomal RNA, 839 nt
Filed under: Clavaria amoenoides
Lineage: Eukaryota; Fungi; Basidiomycota; Agaricomycetes; Agaricales; Clavariaceae
Description: partial large subunit ribosomal RNA
Source: RNAcentral